GUGCAUCAAAGCUGGGACCGAGAGACUGAAAAACAGCUUCUAUCUCAAGGCCAUCAGACUACAUGUUUUGAUGUGAGAGGAUGCCAACCCCCAGUCCCAUCAUCGCCAACUCACCUGCUUUUAAGUUGACCUUUGGGCCGACUAGAGACACUAUUAUGUAAUUGUGAUGAACUGAAAUAAUAUUUAUGUAGCACUGUGAUUCAUUAAUAAUGUGCUGCCUUCCCUGCUCCUUUGAGCUUAACUCUUUCCCUUUCUGUCUUUUACACCUCUCCUUCCACCUCCUCUUUCUUCCUCUGUUUUUAUAAUGCACAACAGAUGUGCAUUGAAGUCCAGAUUGAACUUGUAUUUAUAACAUUUGGAUAAUGAGCUUUUCAAUAAAGCGUUUCACAUUCUCUA
This is a long non-coding RNA of Oncorhynchus gorbuscha (pink salmon), 396 nucleotides long. RefSeq lists it as uncharacterized. The transcript is spliced from 2 exons. NCBI's taxonomy places the organism in Eukaryota, Metazoa, Chordata, Actinopteri, Salmoniformes, Salmonidae. The record is from RefSeq and is a predicted model, not a curated record.